GACGAACGCUGGCGGCGUGCUUAACACAUGCAAGUCGAACGAAGUGGCGAACGGGUGAGUAACGCGUAAUCAACCUGCCCUUCAGCGGGGGAAAACAGUUGGAAACGACUGCUAAUACCGAAUACUGAAGGAGGGGAUUGCGUCUGAAUAGCUAGUUGGAGGGGUAACGGCCCACCAAGGCGAUGAUCAGUAGCCGGUCUUAGAGAGUGAGCGGCCACAUGGGGACAGAGAGACGGCCGAGAGUCCUACGGGAGGCAGCAGGUGGGAAUCGUCCGCAAUGGACGAGAGUCUGACGGAGCAACACCGCGUGAGUGAGGACGACCUUCGAGGUGUAAAGCUCUGUUAAACGGGACGCGGUACCGGAAUAGAGAGCCACGGGUAACUACGUGCCAACAGCCGCGGUAAUAA
Molecule: ribosomal RNA, 408 nt
Filed under: uncultured bacterium
Lineage: Bacteria
Description: partial 16S ribosomal RNA
Rfam family: Bacterial small subunit ribosomal RNA
Source: RNAcentral